This 430-nucleotide ribosomal RNA is filed under the name uncultured bacterium. Its description in RNAcentral is "bacterial SSU rRNA". It matches the Rfam family "Bacterial small subunit ribosomal RNA", at positions 354 to 796 of the family's 1533-position model. The record is from RNAcentral.
GUGGGGAAUAUUGCACAAUGGGCGAAAGCCUGAUGCAGCGACGCCGCGUGAGGGAUGACGGCCUUCGGGUUGUAAACCUCUUUCAGUAGGGACGAAGCGAGAGUGACGGUACCUGCAGAAGAAGCACCGGCUAACUACGUGCCAGCAGCCGCGGUAAUACGUAGGGUGCGAGCGUUGUCCGGAAUUAUUGGGCGUAAAGAGCUUGUAGGCGGUUUGUCGCGUCUGCUGUGAAAGACCGGGGCUUAACUCCGGUUCUGCAGUGGGUACGGGCAGGCUAGAGUAUGGUAGGGGAGACUGGAAUUCCUGGUGUAGCGGUGAAAUGCGCAGAUAUCAGGAGGAACACCGAUGGCGAAGGCAGGUCUCUGGGCCAUUACUGACGCUGAGAAGCGAAAGCAUGGGGAGCGAACAGGAUUAGAAACCCGAGUAGUCC